RNAcentral lists this transfer RNA (72 nucleotides) under Ovis aries (sheep). It matches the Rfam family "tRNA". Rfam says of the family: Transfer RNA (tRNA) molecules are approximately 80 nucleotides in length. Their secondary structure includes four short double-helical elements and three loops (D, anti-codon, and T loops). Further hydrogen bonds mediate the characteristic L-shaped molecular structure. tRNAs have two regions of fundamental functional importance: the anti-codon, which is responsible for specific mRNA codon recognition, and the 3' end, to which the tRNAs corresponding amino acid is attached (by aminoacyl-tRNA synthetases). tRNAs cope with the degeneracy of the genetic code in two manners: having more than one tRNA (with a specific anti-codon) for a particular amino acid; and 'wobble' base-pairing, i.e. permitting non-standard base-pairing at the 3rd anti-codon position. The record is from Rfam by way of RNAcentral. Lineage: Eukaryota; Metazoa; Chordata; Mammalia; Artiodactyla; Bovidae.
UCCCUGGUAGCUCAGUUGGUAAAGAAUCCGCCUGCAAUGCAGGAGACCCAGGUUCAAUCCCUGGGUGGGGAA